AUGCCUCGCUGUAUGUCUCUCUCAAAUGUCAAUAUGCCUUGUAUACUGUUGUUCAGGUUAGUUAUCAUUGUUUUAGUUCACAAUGGAGCCCCUAGUUCCACUCUUCAUACCCCUGAUAACUCCUUUGUCCCACCUCCCACACAUGCGGUGACCUCACCCAUUACUACCAGCAUGUCCAGAGAUACAACCUCUCUCAUCAUCACCCAGUGCCUGGGCUUACCUCCGCUGUACCCGCACCCCACCAUACCCCUGUCUGCGCAUUAUGCCCUGAAUAUAUUCUACCAUGCCCAGAAACCUGCUCCUCUUAUUCUCUGUCCCCAACGCUCUAGGCGACCAGUUUUGAUAGCCUUUAGCCGCACCCUCAUACUACUCCUUCUCUGUUCCGCGGGUGAUGUGGAGGUAAACCCAGGCCCUGCAUGUCCCCAGGCACCCUCAUUUGUUGACUUCUGUGUUCGAAAAAGCCUUGGUUUCAUGCAUGUCAACAUCAGAAGCCUCCUCCCUAAGUUUGUCUUACUCACUGCUUUAGCACACUCUGCUAACCCUGAUGUCCUUGCUGUGUCUGAAUCCUGGCUCAGGAAGGCCACCAAAAAUUCAGAGAUUUCCAUACCCAACUAUAACAUCUUCCGUCAAGAUAGAACUGCCAAAGGGGGAGGAGUUGCAGUUUACUGCAGAGAUAGCCUGCAAAGUAAUGUCAUACUUUCCAGGUCCAUACCCAAACAGUUCGAACUACUAAUUUUGAAAAUUACUCUCUCCAGAAACAAGUCUCUCACGGUUGCCGCCUGCUACCGACCCCCCUCAGCUCCCAGCUGUGCCCUGGACACCAUUUGUGAAUUGAUCGCCCCCCAUCUAGCUUCAGAGUUUGUUCUGUUAGGUGACCUAAACUGGGAUAUGCUUAACACCCCGCCAGUCCUACAAUCUAAGCUAGAUGCCCUCAAUCUCACACAAAUCAUCAAGGAACCCACCAGGUACAACCCUAACUCUGUAAACAAGGGCACCCUCAUAGACGUCAUCCUGACCAACUGGCCCUCCAAAUACACCUCCGCUGUCUUCAACCAGGAUCUCAGCGAUCACUGCCUCAUUGCCUGUAUCCGCUACGGAGCCGCAGUCAAACGACCACCCCUCAUCACUGUCAAACGCUCCCUAAAACACUUCUGUGAGCAGGCCUUUCUAAUCGACCUGGCCCGGGUAUCCUGGAAGGACAUUGACCUCAUCCCGUCAGUUGAGGAUGCCUGGUCAUUCUUUAAAAGUAACUUCCUCACCAUUUUAGAUAAGCAUGCUCCGUUCAAAAAAUGCAGAACUAAGAACAGAUACAGCCCUUGGUUCACCCCAGACCUGACUGCCCUCGACCUGCCCACAUCCUGUGGCGGACUGCAAUAG
Molecule: long non-coding RNA, 1377 nt
Filed under: Oncorhynchus kisutch (coho salmon)
Lineage: Eukaryota; Metazoa; Chordata; Actinopteri; Salmoniformes; Salmonidae
Description: lncRNA (ENSOKIG00005007472.1)
Source: RNAcentral